UUAAGGGCUGCCUGGCUCUGGGGGAAAGUUCUGUGGUUGGUGAUCCCUCCCUUGUGGAGUCUUCCUCUGUGCGUAGAUCUUCAGAGACAGCUCCCUCUGUUGGCCCUGCAGAGUACCCAAGUUUGUCUCCCAGCUUGGUAAAGGAGGGACCUUUGAUGCCAGGGUCCCCUCAAGAGAGAAAAGGCAUAUAAAAAGGAAGCUGAAAUUCCUCAAGGAUAACGUUCUACAUGCUAGCAGGGAGGCAUCCCUACCAUGAGAACAUUCCGAAAAUAACUCACAGAAAUGCAUUUCUACCAGGGAAAGGCAGCCACUCUGCAGUAAUGCUGGAGCUUUGCUUGUUUUAAGCAUCAACUGUGAUGACAUGAUUAAAAAAAUCAGCAUUGUUACAACCACAAGGACCUUUUCCAUGUGAGAGCACAUAAAACAUUAUUAGUGAACUUCUGUCUCCUGACAUAUGUGCUGCACCCUCCAAAUGAGCUGGAAAGAAGGCUGAUGUGAAUCAGUAUUCAUUUUUGGAUCUUUGCUAUUGAUGGACAGUAUUUAAGUUAGGCAUCACUAUAAAUCAAGAUGUCUUGUCCCAGUGUCCUCUUCUACUCUUCGUGUGUUACAACUUACCUGAAUGAUUGGAUGCCAUAUUAAACUGUGAUAUUACCCUACAGUCUACGUCUGACUUUCAGAGGAUCUUGGAUGGUACAACUACAUCACUUUAAUCCACAGUUCCAAAUCCAGUCUCUGAGUUAUGAUUAUGAGGCUCUCAGCUCUAGGUUCAGCUCUAACUAAAAUUUUCAAGAAAUCACAGGACUAUUGUGUUGAAAAGCCUUCUCAGAAAUUAAAGGAAAACAUACAGCUGUUGAGCUGAUGCCCUGGAAAUGCACCACGUAGCCCUCCUUGCAAGAAAUGUUAGCUCAAACUCACAAGCGUACUCCAAUUACUCUUUGUUUGCUGGUGACCUCUGUCUUUUGAGCUUAACCCGCAGUUGCAAAAGCCCAAAGGAGUUGUGUAUGGAGUCUAAAUGCUAGCAUACCUCUCCAUCCUAUCUCAACUAGAACAGUGUUCACCUUUACUACGUUAUGAAGGUGAAAACUAAGGGCUUUUGGAAAAACAAAAGUAUUCAAGUAGGAUUUUGAAUGUGAACAGAAAGAGCUACUGGGAAAGAUUUCAUAGGUGCCAUGUGUAUGAAUGAGAACAAGAGCAUCAGUUAACAAGAAGAACAUGCAAAGUGAGAGAUGUCAUCAGGCACCAAAUCAGUUAAUUAAGUCCAGAAAUGAAGCUUAGAUAUUUCUUCUGUGGAUUGCCUGUAUUCCUUUAUUCAUUGUUUUGAGCAGACUACAAGAUCUUCAUUCUACUUUGGAACUCUGCGGGGACAGUUCUUAUGGAUUUUGACAGUAAGCAGCACAGCACUGUGGGGCAUUUGAGGUGAAGUCAUUCUUAUCGAAAGAGCCAGCAUAAUUUCUCUGCGCCAUUUAAAUCCAAACAAAUCCUAUUUUAAGCACUUUGGAAUGACUUGAGUAAUGCAAAGGCCUUUUCUUGGGCUUUCUGCCCGGGAGUGAAUUUCACCCUCAGUGAAUUAUUAUUAUUAUUGGACUCUACUUAUGAAAACAUAAAGCAAAUAACCCAUGCAGAUAACAUUAAAGCAGUGGGAAAUGGAAAUUCCUAGUAGACUGAAGAAUUAAGUAGGAAUUGUUAUACGAACCUUCUUUCUGUGCUACAGGAGGAGGCACUGGAUGACCUUUGGGUCUCCCUGGGUCUGACCAGCAACAGCUUCUUGAAAAAACUCUUUUUCCAUAAAUACCUGAUGUAUCAGGCAUCAAGGCACACUUUUCUCUCUUGAAAAAUACUGCAGAUUUAUUAUAUUUUCUCAGUUUUUUGCAAGUAUUUCCUGAGUCAGAAACAAUGAUAUCCUGAAAAUGAAGUGAUGGCAUUGUAGCAUUUUCCUUAUGUCCCUGAUAAAAUCUACUAUUUUAUUUCUGCUUUCAUGUAUAUAUGUGCAUCAUAAGGACCUAUUUCGUCCUCUAAAUUCUCCUUUCACUGCAUCAAAAUACUAAAAUAUCUUGUCACCUUUCCUUGGACCAUUGCAGAUCUUUUGAAAAUGUAUAUUUAUUUUUUGCUUUUGCUACUGAUGGAAUAUCUUUGAAAACACUGUGCAAAUCAGCUUUGAGGUCUUAGUGACUUCUCCUGUCCUGAAACAUGUUUUCAUAUGCUGUUGCUAUGUUUUUCAUAUGGAUCCCCAUGAAGGAGUGCACAAAACAAGAACUAACUUUAAGCAUGAGAGCAAUCCCCAGGAAGUUAACAGUAGCCUCAUGUACUGAAUGCUAAUGAUUCCCUUUAACUGUCCUUCAGAUAUGGUGUUUCUCUCGAGUCUGGGAUUGAGUCUUUCUCUCUUCUCUCUCCUUCCAUCCCCCAUUCACUUUUCAUAAUGAUAAACAGUUAUGCCAUGGAGAAAAGGAAGGCCAACGUUCACAGAUCAAAAUAUGGGCUACUACCCAUCUUGCUUAUUUGAUAGUCAUAAAUUCUCGUGUGUAUUAAUAUUAUUUUCGUGUGUGUGUGGACAACCUUCCUGAAUAGCAACUAGCCAUGCCUUUAUGGGCAUAGGUUAGAUGAUACACAGGCUUACCAAGGUGCUUCUGAACAAAAUUCAGGUUUUGAGUAAUUGUGGGCACUGCUUCAACAAAGCUGUUGUUGACGGCUCUUUGGGGUAGAAGAGAACUGCAAAAUUCCAACCUGCCUUUGAAUAUGUAAGAUUUUGGGUAAAGUUUGGAUAGGUCCUUUUUCUAGAUCUCACUGUAGACUUCCAGAUCAGAAUUUUCCUUAGGCUGAUAGCAGUUCCAGUUUAGAACUUACCCUUUUGUUCCACUAUGCUACGUAGAUGGUUGCAUUUAGUGUCCAGUAGCUUCUGUAUUGACUUCUUACACAACAUAAAGCAAAGAAACUUCACAAUAUCUCAAGUAGCACCACUGGUUAACAUAUCUAACCAAAUUCUACCAUCAGAGCAGCCUUUGCCUUAUUUUAUGCGACAUGCAUUCAUCAAAAGGUAGAUUUUAGCCUAUAAUUAACUGUACUUAUAUUUAGUCUAUUAUAUUUCAGGGUCUUAAACCACAGCAUGCACUACUGCUUGCUGCAAACAACAAUUUCCUUUUGCCUCUUACCCUCUGUGCACUUUUUGAUCUCAUUCUGUAAAAAUAAAAUAAAUGCAACACAACCUACAUCAACAGAACUAAAAAUUCGAAGGCAUUUUUAGCACUGGGCAAAAAAUUAAACAACUUCAGGAGACGCUUAUGGUUCCUAAAAAUGGAAGUAUCAACUGGUAAGUUUUUUGAAAAUUGAAUAUAAAAUCAUAGAGAAAUGCUUUAUUUGAUUCUCUGUUUAUGGGAAAUUCAUUUUAUUUGACUUUUUUAUUUGUAAUAUCAACUAUAUUGCAGAGCAGAGUUUCUAGGUGCUCCCUUAUGGUACCAUUCUUCUAAAUUAUUAAUGCCGUACUGUUGAUAUAUUGUCAGCCUUGUACAUACAUUCUAUGAAAAUGAGUUUUACAGUAGGCUGGGAUUUAUAACAAAGCUUGACAUAUGCAGCUAAUUCACCUAGACAGUCUUGUCAGUUUUAGGUUCAUAAAUAAUUGAUACUCAGGGCUUGGAGUUCAGCUACUGUUAGUGCUCCAGCUGUUAAAUUUCAGCAGCAUAAUGGAUGAAUAUUUGUUUAUAAUUUCUGUACAUGGACCUGAUGUCAGAUCCCCGGUCUCAUUUACAUAGGUAGAUUGAGAUGUUGGAAGUGUAAUGAGCAUAUGAAGAUGAUGAAUUGUUUUCCUCAGUGCUGGUGCGUUUCUGUAAAUGUUUGAUUAGUUUUGAAUGGAUUACUGUUAGAUUAUCUGGUUCAGGGGUUAAAGUGAGCAGCUCUCUGCUCCCAAAGCUUUCAUGAUCCCUUGCUGACAGAUUUUAAAAUUCAUAC
Molecule: long non-coding RNA, 3939 nt
Organism: Lagopus muta (rock ptarmigan)
Lineage: Eukaryota; Metazoa; Chordata; Aves; Galliformes; Phasianidae
Exons: 7
Source: RefSeq, a predicted model, not a curated record